This 253-nucleotide ribosomal RNA is filed under the name uncultured bacterium. RNAcentral describes it as "partial 16S ribosomal RNA". It matches the Rfam family "Bacterial small subunit ribosomal RNA", at positions 524 to 776 of the family's 1533-position model. The record is from RNAcentral.
UACGUAGGGUGCGAGCGUUAAUCGGAAUUACUGGGCGUAAAGCGUGCGUAGGCGGUUCGUUAAGUUCGAUGUGAAAGCCCCGGGCUCAACCUGGGAAUUGCAUUGGAAACUGGCGGGCUUGAGUGUGGCAGAGGGGGGUGGAAUUCCACGUGUAGCAGUGAAAUGCGUAGAGAUGUGGAGGAACACCGAUGGCGAAGGCAGCCCCCUGGGCUAACACUGACGCUCAGGCACGAAAGCGUGGGGAGCAAACAGG